Molecule: ribosomal RNA, 492 nt
Filed under: uncultured bacterium
Lineage: Bacteria
Description: partial 16S ribosomal RNA
Rfam family: Bacterial small subunit ribosomal RNA
Source: RNAcentral
AGUGAACGCUGGCGGUAGGCCUAACACAUGCAAGUCGAACGGCAGCACAGUAAGAGCUUGCUCUUACGGGUGGCGAGUGGAGGACGGGUAAGGAAUACAUCGGAAUCUACUUUUUCGUGGGGGAUAACGUAGGGAAACUUACGCUGAUACCGCAUACGACCUACGGGUGAAAGCAGGGGAUCUUCGGACCUUGCGCGAUUGAAUGAGCCGAUGUCGGAUUAGCUAGUUGGCGGGGUAAAGGCCCACCAAGGCGACGAUCCGUAGCUGGUCUGAGAGGAUGAUCAGCCACACUGGAACUGAGACACGGUCCAGACUCCUACGGGAGGCAGCAGUGGGGAAUAUUGGACAAUGGGCGCAAGCCUGAUCCAGCCAUACCGCGUGGGUGAAGAAGGCCUUCGGGUUGUAAAGCCCUUUUGUUGGGAAAGAAAAGCAGCAGGUUAAUACCCCGCUGUUCUGACGGUACCCAAAGAAUAAGCACCGGCUAACUUCGUG